UCUUCCCCCUCUGGACGAGCCUGGACGACACGGGAGUGCUCUUCUGCAACUCUGACCUCUACAGCAUAUUAAACAAGAGGCGGAUGGGUCACAUGGACACCUCAUUAAUUCGCCUUCCCCGAAAGGAGGACAGACGCCCUAGUCUUCCCCUAGGCACUGGGGGCCUCUGGCAGAGAGCAGAAAUGUCACUUACAUGUGGAAAGAAAACAAAACAAAAUAACAGGAACCCUUCUGGCCCUGAUACACUGGACAAUAUCCCUGUUGCCGCUUCCUGCACCGCCACACUGGUUCCUGUAUGCCAGGUCCCCAGGCUCCCAGGCUACAACAUGCCCAUUUUCCUGGAAACAUGAUGAGCUGCUGCCUGGUAGGCCGCAGACCUCUGCCCAAGCAUACCUCAGGAUGGUCCCUUUCAGUGGCUUGGACUGCAACUUCCAAACCCUGGCCAUGCUUUGAUUCUAUCCCGGGCAGUCUUUGCUUGUGUGUUGUUGUCAUUAGAAUCAAUCUGCUGGGAGAACUCAGGGUGAAGAAAUCAAGGGCUCUGGUUCCUGUUUUGUGACCCUGAAACCGACAAUGAAGGAUGUGGUGGCUUUGAACAGUCUCUGCCCUUUGAGAAGCUUGAAGUCUGUUGAGCUCCUAAACAUCUCAGUGGUUUGUAGCAACAAUGUGAGAAAGUCUCUAUAGGGCUUAAUAAUUUGAAGUUUGGUGCCUUCUGUGCAGUGCUCAGGUUGGUUUUAGGAUGAAAUAAUGACAUCUGUGGAGGCCCUAGCAGAGCAUAUUGAGUCACUGUAGCCUUGGACAGCUUCUCUUUGUCCUUCUAGACUUUCUUCCCUCUACCCUUGUCCUAUGCUGAGUCAGAAAGGACCACAUCAAUAGGCCCAGGGCCAGAGGUGUCAGUCAGUGGGUACCUCAGGAGGACAGAGGGGUGACUACCAUCUAUUGAGCUGAGUUUCCUGCCCAUCAGGAGGCCCCCUUCUCUUGGCCCUCUAGCUGAGAUCUGGUCCCCUGUGUUCUCUUCUCUUUAGGUCUAGAGGUGCAACUGAGCCUUCUUGGUGUCUUAAGUUUGUAAGGCUUAAGAGCUUAAGUUUGUAAAUUGUCCUUUUAUUAAACUCUCA
Molecule: long non-coding RNA, 1112 nt
Organism: Heterocephalus glaber (naked mole-rat)
Lineage: Eukaryota; Metazoa; Chordata; Mammalia; Rodentia; Bathyergidae
Source: RefSeq, a predicted model, not a curated record